UGGGGAAUAUGCACAAUGGGCGCAAGCCUGAUGCAGCCAUGCCGCGUGUGUGAAGAAGGCCUCGGGUUGUAAAGCACUUUCAGCGAGGAGGAAGGUGGUGAGCUUAAUACGCUCAUCAAUUGACGUUACUCGCAGAAGAAGCACCGGCUAACUCCGUGCCAGCAGCCGCGGUAAUACGGAGGGUGCAAGCGUUAAUCGGAAUUACUGGGCGUAAAGCGCACGCAGGCGGUUUGUUAAGUCAGAUGUGAAAUCCCCGGGCUCAACCUGGGAACUGCAUUUGAAACUGGCAAGCUAGAGUCUCGUAGAGUGGGUAGAAUUCCAGGUGUAGCGGUGAAAUGCGUAGAGAUCUGGAGGAAUACCGGUGGCGAA
Molecule: ribosomal RNA, 369 nt
Filed under: uncultured bacterium
Lineage: Bacteria
Description: partial 16S ribosomal RNA
Rfam family: Bacterial small subunit ribosomal RNA
Source: RNAcentral